GACGAACGCUGGCGGCGUGCCUAACACAUGCAAGUCUACGAGAAAAGGGUAGCAAUAUCCUGAGUAAAGUGGCGCACGGGUGAGUAACACGUAGGCAAUCUGCCUUCAGGACGGGAACAACCCCGAGAAAUCGAGGCUAAUACCCGAUAAUGCAGCGGCACCGCAUGGUGACAGUUGUUAAAUGCCCGCAAGGGCGCCCGAAGAUGAGCCUGCGCCCCAUUAGGUAGUGGUGAGGUAACGGCCCACCAAGCCUACGAUGGGUAGCUGAUCUGAGAGGAUGAUCAGCCACACUGGAACUGAGACACGGUCCAGACUCCGUACGGGAGGCAGCAGUGAGGAAUAUU
Molecule: ribosomal RNA, 344 nt
Filed under: uncultured bacterium
Lineage: Bacteria
Description: bacterial SSU rRNA
Rfam family: Bacterial small subunit ribosomal RNA
Source: RNAcentral